UCAUAUUCAAGUAACCAUAUCUACUGUGGUUGAUCAAUUCAUUCAAUGUAUGGUGGAGGACACACAAGCUUCAAACAGAUUCCAUUUGAGUGUAGUAUAUGCUCAUAAUACUGCAGGCAAUAGGGAAAGACUAUGGUGUGAUUUAAAGGCAGAAAGUAUUCCCAGCCAGGAUCCUUGGUUGCUCAGUGGGGAUUUCAAUACUAUGCUGAACUUUGAAGAUAGAAUUGGAUCUCCU
RNAcentral lists this long non-coding RNA (235 nucleotides) under Nicotiana benthamiana. RNAcentral's name for it is "long non-coding RNA (NBEN_LNC031420)". Lineage: Eukaryota; Viridiplantae; Streptophyta; Magnoliopsida; Solanales; Solanaceae. The record is from RNAcentral.